UACAUGCAUAACUGUAAGUUGCUUUGGAUAGAAGUGUCUGCUAAAUGCCAUAUA
Molecule: non-coding RNA, 54 nt
Organism: Salmo salar (Atlantic salmon)
Lineage: Eukaryota; Metazoa; Chordata; Actinopteri; Salmoniformes; Salmonidae
Source: Rfam